AAAAGCAAAGUGUAUUAAACAUUAAGGACAAUAUGUAUCACAAGAAGUCUACUGUUCAAUAAGAGACUGAAAUUAAUCAAGUAAGCACACAAACCUCUACUGGGAUAAAAUCUGGGAUCCAAGUGCCAGGAAGCAGACAGAAGAGCAAUUUGACCAAGUCACAGGGUCAGGUGAGACCUCUAAGAGGAAAUAAUGACUGAGCUGAAUUGAAAAGGAAUUCCAGAGCUGAAGCAGGCAGAUUUUGUAAGCCGAGGAAAUGGAUACCAUGGUUGUUUGUAAAAUCAGAUUCAAACAAAGGGAGAGAACAAGGAUGCUUUCCUGUAGCAUGGACACCCGCAGCGAACUGGAGAAAAAUGAUGAGGUUGCAGAAGAAGGGUAUUGACAUAUUCUACCAUAAAUUUUCACUGCUCAUGAUCUGCAGGAUAAUCCCAUAUGUGUAAUAAACACAUUACAAUGGAAAUUUGAGUACAGAGAGAAGACACUGCAGGAAGAUGAUGAAGAAUGGCUUACAGAUGGCUAACAAGCUGGAAACAAAAGUCAGGUGACUCACAGUAAAACUAGAGGCUAUGCCCAUGAAGUCUCACUAACAUGACUGCGAAAACAUGAGGUGAACAAGGACAACACCAAUGGACAUACUAAAGUGGAUAGAAAAAAAGCCCACAAGGCAUCUACCUACACAAUGACCAAGUGAUGGAAGUUGGGAGCAGAAGAGGUGGUCUUGUCCAGGGAAGCACACACCAACUGGUUGUCCAGUGAUAAGUGGAGUGGCUUUCAGAAUACCCUUGUUAUCCACUGCCCUGUCUCAUUUGGAAUCGUAACACAAAGGUAAAAGUCUGGAGGUCAUCUCUUAAUGCAAAGGUUACCUCAAGGACAGUCUUAGCUUUACUGAUCUUGCACUCCGUACAAUGCAAUGUUUCAAACAUAGGUGUGAUAUACCAGCUGUUUGAAGGCCAAGUCAAGAAAACCACAGAAAGAUUAAGAAUAACCUGGGCUUCAUACUCCAUCUCUGAAAACUACAAAUACAAAAAUUAAAAUAAAGUAGAAAUAAUUACGAUGUGUACUACUUAAAUUGGUAAUUUGUAUGCUUGUUAUUUUAAAAAGCAAUAAUUUUAUUUUGAAAAUUCACUGGGAAUAGUCUAUCUCCUUUAAAUUAAAGCUGAUUUUUAAUAUUGCUUUGUAAUAUUUUGCAUCCUUAAGAUUUUUGAAAGCUUAGGUCAAGACUGAAAUCCCACAUUUAUUACUCUGGGCAUUAGGCAGUACUUACUCCUGCAAACAUAGCUAUCUUUCCCAUAGUACAUGACUGUUACGAUAUUUCCCCUUUUAGAAUAGGGAAAAUGGAAGUGUACAAUCCAUAUCGAGCUCUUUGAAUAGCCAUCUGUGAAACAAAGUGAAGGAGAACAGGUGCCUGAGGAGACAGUUUCUGAUCAUCACAUCUGAGACUAAAAUAUUUCACUCUGUGAAAUCAGUGACCUUUGAAAUGAGCAGGUAUGUUUCAUCACUCCUGUUCCUGAACCACAGGUUAGGAUACAGUUUGAAUGGUUUGUUUUAGUUUGCUUUUCUAUUGUGAUAAAACAUCAGCACCAAAAGCAACUUUGGGAGGAAAGGGUUUUUUUUGGCUUACACUUCCAGAUUAUAGUCCAACGCUGAGGGAAGCUGAGGUAUGUAGUCAAGCAGGCCAAGAAUCUAGAGACGGGAACUGAGGCAGGAAAUGUGGCUUAAUGGUUUACUACCAUGCCUGGCUAAGCCUGAUUUUUUAUAUACCCUGGGGGUAUAUAAAAAAAUGUUCCCAUGUGCCCAUCCACAGUGAGUUGGGCCCUACUGCAUCAGUCAUUAAUCAAGAAAAUGUCCCAUAGAGUUGCCUAUAGGCCAAUAUGAAAAUUUCCCUCUUUCCAAAUUACUCCUGCUUGUUUCAAGCUGACAAACAACUAAUCAGGGAAACUGAUCUCUUGUCAGCUUCAUAUACCCAAGCAUUACUACUUGUGGUGGUUUGAGUGAGAACAGCUCCUGUAGGCUCACAUGCUUGAAUUGCUGGUCCCCAGUUAGUGGAACUGUUUGGGAAGCCAUAGGAAGUUUGGCCUUGUUAGAGGAGGUGUGGGACUCGAGGUUUCAAAAGCUUACUUCAAUCCCUGUGUCUCUGCCUGCUGCCUGCAGAUCAAGGUGUAAAUCUCUCAGCCACUGCCCCAGUACUAUGCUGGCCCUCCAUGACGAUCAUGGACUAACUCUCCAAAACUGUGAGCAAACCCCAAACCAAAUGCUUUCUUCCAUAAGUGUUGCCUUGGUCAUGGUGUCUCUUCAUAGCAGUAGAACAUAAAGCAAGACACAAUUAAACUAUAAGAUUUCCCUUCUUGUUUGUUCCUCCAAAUCUAUUAAUACCAAUGUCACAACAUAAAACACAAAUAACUUUAAAAGUUGUAAUUUAAAAUUAUAUUUCUUAAAAGUCCAAGUUCUCUUUAAAUACCCAGUGUCACUUAAAAAUCUAAAGUCUCCCUAUGACUUUCUUACUCCAAGAGGGAAGAAGCAGGACACAGUCACAAUCAAUUCAAAGCAAAAGCAAAUUCUGUAAGUGCCUGUGGUUACUUACCGGGCCAAGAUCAUCUGAUAUGGCCACGAGAAAUGAAACCAGGCUGGUUGGAGGGUCCACAGCAAAACAUAAGUUGCAGCAAUUUUAUUAAGAGCAAUAAGAGUUUUUAUGUUUAUCAGAAACAGAACAUGAUGGCAAUUGCCAGGAUCAAUACAGUUGUAGCUGCCAGGAUGCAAUGAAGUUUGCAAGAUGUACAGGGUACACAAGAUUAAUGUCUAAGACCAAUUUUCCUGUCAAGCUUCCAUGCUUCCUUGACUACUAAGGGAUCAUACAGAGAAACACAGAGUGGUUUGAACAUUUCACUGCCUGAAGGAGUUCAUCAGGCUCUCCGGAACUAGAAGUCCCUCUAACCAAAAGACCCAUGACACAUGCCUCUCUAGGCAGCUAGGCUAGGCCAACUCCAUGGUUCCCUGCAAUAUUCAACAGUGUAAAAUGUUCAGUGCUUGAUGUCUGGGACCUACUCACAAUCUUCUGGCCUCUAAGGGGCCUGGGCAGCCCCUGUUUCUGCCAUCUGUAACGAACAUGGUGCCUGCCUCAUGGGUUCCAGCUGGCUCUACUCCACAGCUCUUGCUAUCCUUGGCUGUUGUCCUAUAGUCAUGGAAUCUUGAAUAUUCUUCAGUCUCCAUAGGCUGCAUAUUCACCAAUGACCUCUGGGUUUUUCUUUAGAGACUCUGACCUUUCCAUAUGAUGUCAAGCCUCAGUCUUUUUUCCAUGACCACUUAAACCCUGCAGUCUCCAUUGCAAAUGAGGCUGCGCCUUCAUCCCUGGCUUCUCACAGUGCCAAUACCCAGCUGAUCUCCAUGUUGUCUUUAUACCUUCAAAACCAGAACCACCUGGGGGACUCUUACACAUUACCAAGUUCAGUUGCCAGAAAGGGAAGUUAGCACUGGCCCUCCUGGAGCACAACUUCUGUUUGCUGAACCAUAGGAAAUACCCCCAGAAGAUUUCACCUACAUAAUGCUCAUCUCCUCUUACUCACAGCAGAUUUUCCAAAACUAGCUGAACAUCAUCAAUUAUCCCAAUAAAGCAAAAGUUUCAUUCUGUGGUGCUGUUCUCCUAUUAGUAACAACUGAUUAUUCAAACUCAGCUUCCCAGAACCACAUGUACUUAAUUCAAAAUAUCACAUAAACACCUCUAAUAGAGUCUUUCCUCUCCUUGAAACUUUACAAGACCUCCAUCAUCUGCAACACUUUCAGCAGUUCUAUCUCCCAACUUUCCAUAAUAUCCCAUUAAGUUCUGAACACUCAAUGGUGUUUCUGGCCCAAAGUUCCAAAAUCUUACACAACCUUUCCCCCAAAACAGUGACAAGGAAGGUCUGUCACAGAAAUACUCUGUGAUCCUGGGACAAAUUUCUAUCUUAGUUUACUUUUCUAUUGAUAUGAUAAAAACAAAAACAAAAACAAAACAAACAAAUCAACUUGAAGAGAAAAGGGUUUAUUUUCCUCCACUUCUACAUCAUAGCCCAUCACGAGGGAAGCCAAGGUGAAAACUCAAGCAGUCCAGGAACUGUCACGAAGGAGUGCAUUUUAUUGGUUUGCUCAGCCUGCUUUUCUAUACAACCUAGGACCACCUACUCAGGGUUGGUACUGCCCACAGUAAGCUGAGCUCUCAAACAACAAUCAUUAAGCAAGAGAAAUGUUAGAGGGGCGUACAGGGUAAUCUGAUGGAAGCAUUUCCUUAAUCGAAGUUCUCUCUUUCCAAAUGACUUAAGCUUGUGUCAAGUGGACAAAAACUCACUAACCGGGACAGUUCCUAAUUGAUGACUUCAGUUUCUAUGUAUUAUGGAAUUUUAAAAAACCAACUAGACACAAAAGACUUGCAAGAGAUAAUAAACUAAGGAAACCUAAUUAUCAGUACUGGAAAGCAAGUAGAAGGAAUUCUAAUUGUGACUUUUUUUGUCUAAUUUUUUUCCAAUUAAAAACUGUUAUGAAUGUGUUCCUUCAUGUUAGAACAGAGGAAUGCUUUCAGUUACUGUUCUUUUCAUUCACUUUUUCUGACUUCAUCUGAUUGAUAUUUUCUUGCUUGAAUGGAUAAAUCUAAUGACAAUGAAAAAGUUUAUGAUUUUGUUUUCAUUUUUGUCAGGUUUGUAAAUGUAUUCUAUUAUUACAUUCAAAUGAUGACAUUUUCCUAUCUAAUGAAGCAGACUUAUAUCUUUACUUUUAAAAAAAUCCAAAAUGUGUCCUUGAAUGCAGCCCACCAAGAAUUUUUCAUGGGUUUUGUAUGAUGAAUAUAUUUAUAUUUCAUUUUUGACUAAGUAAAGCCAUUUGAAAAAAGUUAAACU
Molecule: long non-coding RNA, 4862 nt
Organism: Peromyscus californicus insignis
Lineage: Eukaryota; Metazoa; Chordata; Mammalia; Rodentia; Cricetidae
Exons: 8
Source: RefSeq, a predicted model, not a curated record